UUUCUUGGUCUUUCUGCCCCUGUAUUGCGUCCAUACUUAGCUUUUCUUAGUACCAACAUAUGUUAGAGUUUUCGUGCAACUCAUAUGAUCUCAAAUAUUCCUUCUAAUUUGACUUCCCAUUCAAUAGCCACCGUAGUUCCACUUUCAUUUGUAGUGAUUCCAAUGUUUUGAGAAUGUUUUUACAAGACCAUUUCCUCUGUAGGUCAUUGUGCUUACGUUGAAGCCUAUUUCCUUAUUUCCUCAACUAGUCUUUUGUUGUAGUACUUGGGGAGAACCCUUAAUUCUCGUAAAGUUGUGAGCUUACUACGGACCUUUUGAUGUCCUUCCUUUCCUAUAAUUAUCCGUAGUUACUUACCUCCAUGCCCUUGUGUUUGUUGGGUAGCUUCUGAACUGAUAUUUGUAUAUCUUCCCAAUGGGACUCUUUUUUAUUUCUGUAACACUCAUACGGUGUUUAACUAACCCAACUCCUAUCUGAAUAUUUCUCAUUAUCACAAUGUCAUAUAUGUGAGACUGAAUUCCCCAUGUUGCGUUUCACUCUGUUAUCUUGCAUGAUAUAUUGAUUUGUCUGUAUCCUCUUAUUUAGCCAUAACUAGUCUCUUCCUGAAUCAACUUACUAACUACUCAUCGGCCUAUUGCCAUAUCAAUAUUUGCAUAAUCUUUUUUGGGUUAUUUCGUUUGUCUUAACUUACGUCUUGCACUGGCUUCUUAUAUAUCAAUAACAUCUCACGCAAAGGCCCUUACUUGAUGUCGUGUUUGCAUAAUAUUUUGGAAUUGUAGCAUACAUGUAGGCUUUGAAUAAGUGCAAUCUCAUUUUUAUCGCAUUCUUCCUUUACCAUUCCAUAAUUACUAGAAUCACUUAAUUUUUACUUAAUGCCAGAUCACACCAUAUUCCCCCC
Molecule: long non-coding RNA, 896 nt
Filed under: Nicotiana benthamiana
Lineage: Eukaryota; Viridiplantae; Streptophyta; Magnoliopsida; Solanales; Solanaceae
Description: long non-coding RNA (NBEN_LNC041811)
Source: RNAcentral